GCAACAGAUGGCAAGCGACUAUUCCGAAUUCCUCAUGCCAAACGAGAAAUGGCGCGGAGGAAGGUCUGACUUAAAAGAAUCAGCCGGACUGAGUUGCACCCAACGCGAUGGUCCCGGAUUCCCGGCUCUGUGAGCUGACGUGACUGUGGACACAUUUUCGCGGAUGAGCCGGAGACCCGAGCAAGCUGUUUCAUCUGCGAAGGCUUCAUUUACAUGACGGAACGUGUGUAGCCUCAGUUCGGAAAUGCCUGGCAGUUGCUGCGCCCCAAACUGCAGAUCGAACUAUGGUGGUGGUCCGAACAGUGCGAGUGUCCGCGUCCAUAAGUUUCCUGCGGACGAGACACAAAGGGCAGCGUGGACAAAAGCCAUAUCUCGUGAAAAUUUCAUGCCGAUGAAGCACACAGUGGUGUGUGAAAAACACUUUGAGAAGAGUGACUUCGUCACGUUUGCAUCGUACGCGGACUUGAAGACUGGAAAAGUUAUUGAAGGGCCGCUGGGUGCGUGCUGGCCUCAAGCCAACUGCUGUGCCCAGUCUUUUUCCCGGCUGCCCAAAAUAUAUGUCUAAGCCAAAGCGAACGCGGGAAGCUCCUGCAGAAAAGAAAGCUCGAUUCGAAGCAGCAUCGGUGCGAAUAGCGAUAGAGCUUUCUGUUGCUGCGCAAGAAGAAGAUCGCAGGAACAAAAUUUGCAGUUUUGAAGAACUUUGUUGUGCCCUUCCAACGCUAAAGACUUCAAAGUUCUGGACUGUGAUCACUAGACAGUGAAGGGUUUCGUUUCUUGACCUCUCCCUCGACUGUGCUCCCGCAGUGCGCUCGUCAGUGGGGGUGUUAGAGGAUAUGUCUGUUCAGGUGUUCCUCGGAGGGUCCCGCCUUCACAAACUUGGAGAUGUCUGCAUGUUAUCAGAGUUAAAGGAUUUAAGGGAGCUUGACCGAGUGCUGCAAUCUGUGGAAAAGCUGCAAAGUUGUGCUGAUAACAGUGAAAAGGAAAAAGAACACCAGCUACUUUCAACUGUGCUGAUGCUUCUGGAUGAAGUGAAGAAGGAAUAUGAGCUCCAAAAACGUCAUGGAUGGAACUUAGAGGUACUGAAAUUUGUGAGAAGCCAAGUCGAGCUUGUGUUGAGAAAUACGCCGCGAUAUCCACCAGAUGUGCUAUUGUUUUCAGGUCUGCUGUAUACCAUUUGUCCACAUGCCUACAAGUUCAUCAGGAGUUCUCUUAAAGUUAAGCUGCCACACCCAGACACCAUUCGACGAUUAUGUUCGUCAUACCACUUGCAUCCAGCUCUUGAGCAGCAAGAUUUUUGUUUUUUGAACUAUGCUAAAACUGUCUUGCAAGCAAUGGCCGAGCAUGAGCGCACUGUAACAUUAAUGAUGGCUGAGAUCCAUCUUCAAACCUAUUUUGAAUAAAAAGCAGGCUUCGUUACAGGUGCCGCAGCCAAUAGUUCCAAUCCAGCUAAAACUGCGUAUGUGUUCAUGUUGCAGAGCCUUUUGUCGAGCAACAAGGAUGUGGUUCACAUUUUACCAGUCGCACAGAUCGAUGCAAAAGCAUUGCAUAAGUUUUUGCUAAAGCUCAUCACUGACCUUGAGUCACUUGGUUUCACGGUACUAGCAGUUGUUUCAGACAAUGCUAUAAACCGAAAAGCCAUGACAUUUUUUGCUAGCCCCCCUAAAGCCAGUAGUGUUUAUCCACAUCCAGCCGAUUCCUCUCGUCCACUGUUCUUUAUUUUGGACCCCGUACACCUUCUCAAGUCAAUCAGGAAUAACUGGUUAAGCCAGAGAAAUAGUGGAAAGUGCAUGUAUUACCCUGAUCCGAGUAACAAUGGCCCAAAGCCACCUAUCCUUACUGAUCAUUUAAAUCUGUCUGAUUUACAUGACGCUGAGCAGAAUAACCUUUUAAAGCUGGCACCAACGCUUUCACUAAAAGCACUAAACCCAUCAACUAUAGGGCGUCAGAACUUUAAGUAUAGAACGUGAGAACGUCAGACACCAUUUUGACAUGGCGACAAAUAGCAAAUGUAAAGACACCGAGAAAGCGUCAACGCUUACGUGAUGAAAUGCAGUAUCCGAUUGUGUCAACAACAUGUCCACAGCUGGAAUUUUUGAGAAAAACAAAAGAGUGGCUAGACUACUGGGCUAGCCUCAAGCACGAUGCCGGCCACCUGACGAAAGAAACGCAGUUGGCUUUUGGCCACACGAGCCACGCUCUGCAUGAGAUCUCUCUAUACUGCCUGGAAGAGCUAGUAUGUGCUCCUUGGCAAAUUUCAAACAGAUUGCCUUGAAGGUAGGUUUGGGAAGUACCGCCAGCUAUCUGGUGUCCAAUACCACAUCUCGAUCAGGCAGAUCUAUGAAUCUGAGAACAAGCUUAGGCUUCAAAAAGUACUGGACUUGCCUGACCUGGACGUUAUUGCACAGCCAAUCCCUGCCAUAGGUGUUGAUUCACUUCGUGGAGAGUUCACCAUAGCAGUGACCGAUGCUGAUGUCGCUAAAAAAUCGUAAAUGAUUCCCGCUGUUACAUAUGUUGCUGGGUAUUGUGCACAUGUGACAAUGAAAAAGCUCAUGCGCUUGUCCUGCAAAGAAAACUUUAUACUGGAGAAUACCAGUUUGGACCACGAAGACACACUGCUCAUUGCAGGUAUGACACGACGAGGACUGAAGUUUCCGUGUGCUGUUGUAGUGAAUGCUGUGCUUUGUACAGAAAUAGUUUUUGAUAAAUUGAGGAGUGAGGAGUUGGCGUCAAAAUUUCUUGCUCUUUCAAAUCAGAACGAGGCCCUUGUGGCUCUUGUGUCAACCGUUCUGCAUGAUUCUGGAGGCCUUGAUGACCUUGGUGCCUGUAAUUAUGGCCACUCGCCAGAAAACGUCAUGCACCAUAUUUGGAGUGCAACUGCCAACACCCUGUUGAAUAAUUUGUGCAAACCCAAAAAUGCCAAAACAGGAAGCGUAAAUUGCAAACUCUAAAGAGCUGAAAAUCGAUGUCCGUUUGGUUUACUGGCAACUGUUUUUCAGUAGUGAUAGUUUCUUGCACAUCUAAUUACAUGGUUAUGAUAGCUCUGUAUUGAGCCAUUUUAUUUUUUGUUCACGCUUUUUUUAUACUAAGUCACUGCUGCAUAUAGCACUGUCUUGGACGAGAACUUGUGUUCCAAAAUGUAUUGCUUUCGUAUGAUGGACAUGUAUAUGUAAAUAUCUAUGGUUUUUGCUAUUUGACGCACUGUGGCGGUGAACAAAUUGUACAUUUUUAUUCUGUGCUUGAGGUAUAUAUCUCACCAUGUCACACAACUUGUUGACGGCUGCCUUGUGUGUAUGUGUGAAGCGCUGAAAUAAACUGCUCAUUCCCUUUA
Molecule: non-coding RNA, 3328 nt
Organism: Dermacentor albipictus
Lineage: Eukaryota; Metazoa; Arthropoda; Arachnida; Ixodida; Ixodidae
Source: RefSeq, a predicted model, not a curated record